UACGUAGGGUGCGAGCGUUGUCCGGAAUUACUGGGCGUAAAGAGCUCGUAGGUGGUUUGUCGCGUUGUUCGUGAAAACUCACAGCUUAACUGUGGGCGUGCGGGCGAUACGGGCAGACUGGAGUACUGCAGGGGAGACUGGAAUUCCUGGUGUAGCGGUGGAAUGCGCAGAUAUCAGGAGGAACACCGGUGGCGAAGGCGGGUCUCUGGGCAGUAACUGACGCUGAGGAGCGAAAGCGUGGGGAGCGAACAGGA
This 254-nucleotide ribosomal RNA is filed under the name uncultured bacterium. RNAcentral describes it as "partial 16S ribosomal RNA". It matches the Rfam family "Bacterial small subunit ribosomal RNA", at positions 524 to 777 of the family's 1533-position model. The record is from RNAcentral. RNAcentral also lists the same sequence under 1 other name.